Molecule: ribosomal RNA, 757 nt
Filed under: Bacillus subtilis
Lineage: Bacteria; Bacillati; Bacillota; Bacilli; Caryophanales; Bacillaceae
Description: bacterial SSU rRNA
Rfam family: Bacterial small subunit ribosomal RNA
Source: RNAcentral
UAAGACUGGGAUAACUCCGGGAAACCGGGGCUAAUACCGGAUGGUUGUUUGAACCGCAUGGUUCAAACAUAAAAGGUGGCUUCGGCUACCACUUACAGAUGGACCCGCGGCGCAUUAGCUAGUUGGUGAGGUAACGGCUCACCAAGGCAACGAUGCGUAGCCGACCUGAGAGGGUGAUCGGCCACACUGGGACUGAGACACGGCCCAGACUCCUACGGGAGGCAGCAGUAGGGAAUCUUCCGCAAUGGACGAAAGUCUGACGGAGCAACGCCGCGUGAGUGAUGAAGGUUUUCGGAUCGUAAAGCUCUGUUGUUAGGGAAGAACAAGUACCGUUCGAAUAGGGCGGUACCUUGACGGUACCUAACCAGAAAGCCACGGCUAACUACGUGCCAGCAGCCGCGGUAAUACGUAGGUGGCAAGCGUUGUCCGGAAUUAUUGGGCGUAAAGGGCUCGCAGGCGGUUUCUUAAGUCUGAUGUGAAAGCCCCCGGCUCAACCGGGGAGGGUCAUUGGAAACUGGGGAACUUGAGUGCAGAAGAGGAGAGUGGAAUUCCACGUGUAGCGGUGAAAUGCGUAGAGAUGUGGAGGAACACCAGUGGCGAAGGCGACUCUCUGGUCUGUAACUGACGCUGAGGAGCGAAAGCGUGGGGAGCGAACAGGAUUAGAUACCCUGGUAGUCCACGCCGUAAACGAUGAGUGCUAAGUGUUAGGGGGUUUCCGCCCCUUAGUGCUGCAGCUAACGCAUAAGCACUCCCCCGC